This 450-nucleotide ribosomal RNA is filed under the name uncultured bacterium. RNAcentral's name for it is "bacterial SSU rRNA". It matches the Rfam family "Bacterial small subunit ribosomal RNA", at positions 354 to 796 of the family's 1533-position model. The record is from RNAcentral.
GUGGGGAAUAUUGGACAAUGGGCGAAAGCCUGAUCCAGCCAUGCCGCGUGUGUGAAGAAGGUCUUCGGAUUGUAAAGCACUUUAAGUUGGGAGGAAGGGCAGUAAGUUAAUACCUUGCUGUUUUGACGUUACCGACAGAAUAAGCACCGGCUAACUUCGUGCCAGCAGCCGCGGUAAUACGAAGGGUGCAAGCGUUAAUCGGAAUUACUGGGCGUAAAGCGCGCGUAGGUGGUUUUGUAAGUUGGAGGUGAAAUCCCCGGGCUCAACCUGGGAACUGCCUCCAAAACUGCAUGACUAGAGUACGGUAGAGGGUAGUGGAAUUUCCUGUGUAGCGGUGAAAUGCGUAGAUAUAGGAAGGAACACCAGUGGCGAAGGCGACCACCUGGACUGAUACUGACACUGAGGUGCGAAAGCGUGGGGAGCAAACAGGAUUAGAUACCCUUGUAGUCC